GUGAUUUCUUUAAGUUUCUUAGAUGCUCAGAUAUGUUACGUUAUGUGCGCAUGCGCAGCUUCACUAGAGACUUAAAUUAUGGUAGCUGGUAAUCAUUUCACCGCAGACAAUCAUCAGGAGCACACAGCCCGUUGGCAAUCACAUGUACCUACGGGGGAAGGAUGGCCAGCCACACAGGAGGGUGAUUUUCACUAAGGAGAAGGAGGCCAUGCUGACCGAAAUGCAUGCUAGCCAUUUCGGAGUGAAGCGCAUGAUUGCCAAAAUCAACCUACGCUUCUUCUGCCGUGGGAUUGUCAAUGAUAUGGACAGCUGGGCAAGUGAAAAAAACUUUUAUUUAUCAAUCACAUUCUAUUAUAUCUGAAAUGAUUAUGAUUUCAAUGAAUGUCACAUCAGAGCACACAAUGUUUCAAUUAGUCACUUUGUGCUUAAAGGUCAGUAACUGUCUAGCCUGUCAGAAGUUUGAGAGGGUGAAGACUGGUGCCGGAGUUGAAGCCCAUGAAAGUUGUUUCCCCAUGGCACAUGAUCGAUAAGUGUCACAAUUCAAAUGUUGCCCUGAUAAGUUGUUUUGUAAUGGUUGCUUUAUUUGACCACAGCAGAGUUCAAUAUUAUAGAAUCUGGCUGUGUGUGUCAGUAUUCUUACAAAUAUGAAAAUCUGCAUACCGUAUGACACAGAUACAGGUAAGAAUAAAGUAAUCUUCUCUCUAACACUUUAAAUGUUAGGGGUGGACCUCAUCUGACCCUUCACGAAAUACAUGAAUGGCAAGAGCUGGUGUCUGACGGCAACCGAUCACUUUACCAAGUGGGUGGAGGCAAUACCCAUUAAGGUCAGUAAAGGAAGAGAACGUGCUUAACUCUAAAUUCCCUUCUCGAGGCCACCUCCAAGGUGAUGAUGGACAUCUUCAACACCCACGGUUCUCCUGAGGUCAUCUUGAGUGAUCGAGGUCGUGAACUCUGGAACAAGGUUUGGAUGAACAGACCAACCAGAACCACAAGACCGCCAUGGGAAAGUCCCUUGACGGGUAACCGGAACGGUGGGAGUACAACCUGAAGGUCAUUCUCUUUGCACACAACAGCUUCCAGUUCUCCACCGAGUACUCGCCCUAUCGCCUGCUGUACGGACGGGAGCUGCAGCUGUUGACUGAGAUCACUGAAAUUGUCGAAUCAGAUCAAAAUGCCUUUGAGGACCACCUUCAGGCACGGGCUGAGAAGGAUGUGGAGGUUUUUUAUCAGGUGAGACUGAACAUCGACAAGGUGCAGGAGAAACAGAAGGAGAGCUACUGAAGGAGAAUACAAAAGGGUUAGGGGCUUCGACAUCCGGGCAAAUUACUUGGUUUGGAAGAAGGGCGAAAGGAAGGCGAGACCUGGAAAACUUCGCUGCUCUUUCACUCCUAGCUGGGGUCACCAUCCAUUAAGGGUUACAUCGGUGGAAGCCAACAAUCUUCUCCAGUUGGACGGUCGACCACUGAAAGCCCCGACUCCCUACACAUUCGUGAAACCCAUGAGACAAAGUACAGUGAGGGGGAAAAAGUAUUUGAUCCCAUGCUGAUUUUGUACGU
Molecule: long non-coding RNA, 1556 nt
Organism: Coregonus clupeaformis (lake whitefish)
Lineage: Eukaryota; Metazoa; Chordata; Actinopteri; Salmoniformes; Salmonidae
Exons: 6
Source: RefSeq, a predicted model, not a curated record